Anthonomus grandis grandis is the source of this 951-nucleotide long non-coding RNA. RefSeq lists it as uncharacterized. The transcript has 3 exons. NCBI's taxonomy places the organism in Eukaryota, Metazoa, Arthropoda, Insecta, Coleoptera, Curculionidae. The record is from RefSeq and is a predicted model, not a curated record.
CAACCCAAUAUCUCAGACCAUGAUGGUCAGCAGGUUGACUUUUCAGUACCUACAUCCCGCAGUUUAAUACAUACAAAAAAAAUAUGCCGGCCUGUAACACAACAUGGGCUUUUUAAUUUCCAUAACAUUAUUUCAGAUACACCUUGGCAUUUUGUAUCAGAGCCUAACAUAUUGGUUGAAGAAAAGUUUAUCACAUUUCUAAACAUUUUACAGGAUACAUGCUUGACGCGUUUUCCCAUAAAGCAGUUUACUGUGAGAUCAGAUCAAUCCAAUAAUAUUUCCUGGUUUAGUGACGAGCUUAGAGGGAUGCGUGAGAGGCUUAGGUUUCUUGAAUUGAGAGACCAUGAACAACCAACUUGCGGAGUUUCUUGCAGAACCAUCUGGGGAGUUCGAUAAUUUCAUUCGGAUGUCAUAUGCAGAUUCUUCUACAACAAAUUUCUCCAAUGGUUGCAAAGCAAGACACUGACUGGAGAGAAGCUAUACCAGUUAAAAUACGACUAGCAUUAACCUUAAGAUAUUUAGCUAGCGGAGAUAGCUUCAGAAGUUUACAUUAUCUGUUUAAAAUAUCAGGUUCACUGAUCUCACGCAUAGUCAUUGAAGUCUGUGUGGCACUGAAUGAAGUUCUGAAAGAUAUGAUUAAGAUGCCUGAAACUACAGACGGAUGGAUUUCCAAGUCACAAGGCUUCAGCUUUCCCCAUUGCCUUGGGGCUAUUGAUGGGAAGCACAUAACUAUACAGUCACCUUUAUAAAAGAACUUUUAGCAUCGUUCUAUUAGUAGUAGUGGAUAGUAAUUACUGUUUUUUGUUUGCCGAUGUAGGAUCCCAAGGGAGGAUAAGUGAUGGCGGAGUUUUCAAUCAAAGUGUUUUACGCCGAAAACUAUUAUCUAAUAGUUUGAAUUUACCCCUCCCUAGUCCACUUCUGGAUAGUGAAAAUAUUAUACCCUACGUAUUU